RNAcentral lists this transfer RNA (74 nucleotides) under Bacteroidia bacterium. RNAcentral describes it as "tRNA-Arg". It matches the Rfam family "tRNA". Rfam says of the family: Transfer RNA (tRNA) molecules are approximately 80 nucleotides in length. Their secondary structure includes four short double-helical elements and three loops (D, anti-codon, and T loops). Further hydrogen bonds mediate the characteristic L-shaped molecular structure. tRNAs have two regions of fundamental functional importance: the anti-codon, which is responsible for specific mRNA codon recognition, and the 3' end, to which the tRNAs corresponding amino acid is attached (by aminoacyl-tRNA synthetases). tRNAs cope with the degeneracy of the genetic code in two manners: having more than one tRNA (with a specific anti-codon) for a particular amino acid; and 'wobble' base-pairing, i.e. permitting non-standard base-pairing at the 3rd anti-codon position. RNAcentral also lists the same sequence under 1 other name. The record is from RNAcentral. Lineage: Bacteria; Pseudomonadati; Bacteroidota; Bacteroidia.
GGGCUCGUAGCUCAACUGGAUAGAGCACGGGACUUCGGAUCCCGGGGUUGUGGGUUCGAAUCCCACCGAGCCCG